GGGAGGGAGCGGGGGCGGCCAGCGCGGCGGCCCCUGGGAGGUGUAGUGCCGCUCUCUGGGCGCCGGGGGGGAGCAUCGCGCCGAGAACUACAGCGACCGUGGUGCAGUGCGGAGGGGGUGGGGCGGGCUCGCCGAGCAGCGUGGUUGGCCCGAAAGGACGGCGUCAGCCGACUGCCGGGCUGCGAGCGACCAACACAAUGUGGGCACUGCUGCGAAACAACAACUUGUACAGUUCCUCGUUAGUAUAGUGGUGUGCAGUGUGUUUUCUUCUCCAGAGGAUGUUAUUUAACUGUACUCAGUGAUCUGGCAACAUCAGGGUGUCAUCAUGACGGGCUCAGGUUACACUCCUUUCAAGUCUGAUGCUGGUGGUGCACCACAGAAACUGCAGAUGCUAAGACAACUGAAGAACUACACACUUUGUAAUUUAAGGCUAGCAAACCCAGUCAAGUUCCUUAUAAUGAGAGGAAUAUGAAAUAACAAUACUUCAGCAUUGUAGUAACUGGCCAACAACCAAGAAUUUCAUUAAAGCCUUGAGCAUUUAAGAAUACAAUU
Molecule: long non-coding RNA, 552 nt
Organism: Lepidothrix coronata (blue-crowned manakin)
Lineage: Eukaryota; Metazoa; Chordata; Aves; Passeriformes; Pipridae
Exons: 3
Source: RefSeq, a predicted model, not a curated record